This is a small nucleolar RNA of Lemur catta (Ring-tailed lemur), 132 nucleotides long. RefSeq annotates it as small nucleolar RNA SNORA11. The record is from RefSeq and is a predicted model, not a curated record. Lineage: Eukaryota; Metazoa; Chordata; Mammalia; Primates; Lemuridae. The transcript has a single exon.
GGGGUGUGCUCAGAGCAGGGGGCCUAAAGAGUGGCUCCUCUGUUUACAACACACCCAACAGGAAUCUCGGGUCAUUGUGACAAAGGGCGGCACAGAACUUGGGGCCUCCCUACAAACAAAUGCCCUACACUU